RNAcentral lists this ribosomal RNA (253 nucleotides) under uncultured bacterium. Its description in RNAcentral is "partial 16S ribosomal RNA". It matches the Rfam family "Bacterial small subunit ribosomal RNA", at positions 524 to 776 of the family's 1533-position model. The record is from RNAcentral.
UACGUAGGGUGCAAGCGUUAUUCGGAUUUACUGGGCGUAAAGAGUGUGUAGGCGGUUUUGUAAGUUGAGUGUUAAAUCUAUGGGCUCAACCCAUAGGCUGCACUCAAGACUGCAAGACUUGAGAGUGGAAGAGGCAAGUGGAAUUUCUGGUGGAGCGGUUAAAUGCGUAGAUAUCAGAAGGAACACCAAUGGCGAAGGCAGCUUGCUGGGCCAUUUCUGACGCUGAGACACGAAAGCGUGGGGAGCGAUCGGG